Suricata suricatta (meerkat) is the source of this 1198-nucleotide long non-coding RNA. RefSeq lists it as uncharacterized. The transcript has 6 exons. Lineage: Eukaryota; Metazoa; Chordata; Mammalia; Carnivora; Herpestidae. The record is from RefSeq and is a predicted model, not a curated record.
UGGGCGGGGAAGAUUGCGGCUGCCUUGGGAACCUAGCUGCCUAGACUUGGCUACCCUUUGCUGUGCUGCCCUGUGGAGCUGCUCCGUUGGGCAUCUCGGGUUCGUUUUGCGGCCGAGGAAGUGUCAUCUUUUUCCCUUGCAAGGCCGCGGAGACUGGAAGGAGGCAUCCACAGCUGUCCAAGUCAGAGCAUCCGCUGCCCACAAGCGAAGCACAGUACUGAAAAAACAGCAUCUCAUGGGAAUUUAGUACCAGGAGCUGCAGCACCUCCCAAGCCUCCCUCUGACUACAUCGUAGAGGACACCAGCAGCCCAAGAACUCUAAGCUAACCUUGUCCUGAUCCAACAGAUGGGAAUACCCAAGGAAGGAUGAAAAGGAAUCUGGGUGCCAGGUCCUCUCUCUGAGUGAUGGCAUCCACUGUCAGACUUUCAAGUCCCUCCUACAUGCAGUGACUCCCAGAUAUUCACUCUUCACCUCUUGCCUGAGCUCUGGUCUCACACUUCACAUGGAUAUUGUCUCCUGAAGAUCAUGCAGCCACAUCCACAGCCUCCAUUACCUGGGUCAGCUCCAUUGAGACAGCACGGCUUCUUGGGCAACCCUGUGCCCCGGCCACAAUAUUCCAUUGUGAUGCUGGACAGCAAGGCCCAUAAAAGGCAGCCAUAGAGUCUACAGAACAACAGGAAGGCCAGAUACGUGUCCAGAUAACUAUAAUGCAAAACUGAAGAUUGAAGGUGACAGAAAAGAGAAACAGGGAAUAGAUGGUGGGGAGAACAGGUGGUCUAGAAGGUUUCCAAAGAAGUUUUGCUGACUUUGCAUCUUGAGUGUUGGAUAAGAUUCAGGUCACAAAGCCUUCAUGUGAGAGGUAGCCUCCCUAUAGCAUGAAGAAAGGAGAAUAUCUUCUAAGACAAAGGGAUGCUGAGAAGAAUCCUAAGAAAGAGGCCUUUGCCAAGGUUCCUCAGGUUUACUACACUUGCUUCAUACUCAUUAUCGUAUUCCUCCAUGACUGGCCACUCUUCAUCAAACCUAGCAUAAAAUACUCAGGUCUGUUUCUUAGGGUCUUUAUUUCCUUAUAAAGGCUCCUGUGCUGUGUAAAACUUAUAUUAAAUACAUUUGUAUGCUUCUCUCCUGUUACUCUGGUUUUUUUUUUUUUUCAGUUUAAUUUUCAGACUCAAUCGGAAACCCUAAGAGGAUUAAGGAAAA